UGCAAGUCGAGCGGUAGAGAGAAGCUUGCUUCUCUUGAGAGCGGCGGACGGGUGAGUAAUGCCUAGGAAUCUGCCUGGUAGUGGGGGAUAACGUUCGGAAACGGACGCUAAUACCGCAUACGUCCUACGGGAGAAAGCAGGGGACCUUCGGGCCUUGCGCUAUCAGAUGAGCCUAGGUCGGAUUAGCUAGUUGGUGAGGUAAUGGCUCACCAAGGCGACGAUCCGUAACUGGUCUGAGAGGAUGAUCAGUCACACUGGAACUGAGACACGGUCCAGACUCCUACGGGAGGCAGCAGUGGGGAAUAUUGGACAAUGGGCGAAAGCCUGAUCCAGCCAUGCCGCGUGUGUGAAGAAGGUCUUCGGAUUGUAAAGCACUUUAAGUUGGGAGGAAGAGCAGUUACCUAAUACGUGAUUGUUUUGACGUUACCGACAGAAUAAGCACCGGCUAACUCUGUGCCAGCAGCCGCGGUAAUACAGAGGGUGCAAGCGUUAAUCGGAAUUACUGGGCGUAAAGCGCGCGUAGGUGGUUAGUUAAGUUGGAUGUGAAAUCCCCGGGCUCAACCUGGGAACUGCAUUCAAAACUGACUGACUAGAGUAUGGUAGAGGGUGGUGGAAUUUCCUGUGUAGCGGUG
RNAcentral lists this ribosomal RNA (632 nucleotides) under Pseudomonas sp. WD5. RNAcentral describes it as "bacterial SSU rRNA". It matches the Rfam family "Bacterial small subunit ribosomal RNA", at positions 56 to 683 of the family's 1533-position model. Lineage: Bacteria; Pseudomonadati; Pseudomonadota; Gammaproteobacteria; Pseudomonadales; Pseudomonadaceae. The record is from RNAcentral.